This is a non-coding RNA of Pelobates cultripes (western spadefoot toad), 229 nucleotides long. The record is from the annotation of a GenBank genome assembly. NCBI's taxonomy places the organism in Eukaryota, Metazoa, Chordata, Amphibia, Anura, Pelobatidae.
CCCACUCCCGCCCGGCUCUGGAAGGGGGAAAGGGGUAAAAACGUACCCUUUUCCAGCGCUGGGCGGGGAGCUCUCCUCCUCCGAUCCUCCUCCAUUCCUCCCCGUCGGCUGAAUGUGCACGCGCGGCAAGAGCUGCGUGCGCAUUCAGCCAGUCGCAUAGGAAAGCAUUUACAAUGCUUUCCUAUGGACGCUUGCGUGCUGUCACUGUGAAAAUCCUAGAGGGAAUGGG